CGUAGCAAAGUUCAGUAUUUUUUCCAGAAAACUCGGCAAAGAUUUUACCCUCUGAGGCAUAGAUGCCCAUCUGCUUGUCCCCAGAGCUUGUGAAUAGGUUAUUUCACGUGGCUAAACGGACUUUGCAGAUAUGAUUAAGCUAAGGGUCUUGAGAUGGGGAGAUGAUUCUGGAUUAUCUGCAUGGGCGCAGUGUCAUUACAAAGGUUCUGAUAGGAGAGAGGCCGGAGAGACGAGAAGGAGACAUGAUGAGGGAAGCAGAGGUUGGAGUGAUGUGAGGCCAUGAGCCAAGGAAUGCAGGAAGCCUCUAGAAGGCAGAAAAGGCCCAGCCAUAGAUUCCUCUUUAGAGCUUCCAGAAAGAACGCAGCCCUGCUAACUCCUUGAUUUUAGGGCUUCUGACCUCCAGACGUGUAAGAGAAUAAACGUGUGCUGUUUGAAGUCACUCAGUUUGUGGUGAUGUGUUACAGCAGCCACAGGAAGCUAAUGUAGGAGGAUUCAACAGGCUAUUUUCAAUUCAGUGAGAGUGCUUUGGUGAAAGCGUUAGGGGUAAUGGCAGGCAGGAGUGUUCAGAGUCAGUUACUGUACAGAGUUUAUUGGGAGCCCACCAUCAGCUAGGAACUGAGACCUCCCUUGUGGACAAACUGACAUGGGCUCUGCCGAUACGGAACUUAGAGCCACAGGAGGAAGACCGGCAUUAAACCAAAAUGGCUAUUAAUUAACCUCAAGUGUGCAGUGUGCUAUGAAGUACUGCAUGGUACGAUGCAAAUGAUUAAAAGGAGAGCUCUUUCUUCUGGAUGGUCAGGGAAGGUUUUCCUGAGGAUGUGAUGUUUAAGGCAGACUCUGAGGUUGAAAGAGCCUUUCAGACAAUCGGUAGAGCAUAUGCAAAAGCUGUAGGCAGGCAAAGCAUUGUGUUUUAACGAGUUAAGAGAAAUCCAGUGCCAUUGGAGCCGACAGAAUAAGGGCUAGUGCUGUACAAGAGGAGAUGGAGGGGUGACUAGGGCUAGGCGAGACAGGGCCUUGUAGGCCGCUGAAGGAUUGUGGCAUGCCCAUAUUUACAGUUUUAUUUUUAUUAAAAAGUUUUUUUCUAAUGUUUAUUUUUGAGACAGGGCGAGACAGAGCAUGAGCAGGGGAGGGGCAGAGAGAGCGGGAGACACAGAAUCUGAAGCAGGAUCCAGGCUCUGAGCUGUCAGCGGGGCUCGAACCCGCAAACGCGGUAUCAUGACCUGAGCCGAAGUCAGAUGCUUAACCGACCGAGCCACCCAGCUGCCCUGAGGUGUUGAAGGAUUCUAAGCAGAGUUUACGAAAAUGGGGACAUGUUCUGAAUUCCAGGUCGUCAGCUGUCAGCACAGAGCCGGAUGUGGGGCUCGGACUCAUCAAAAGUGACAUCGUGACCUGAGUUGAAGUCAGACGCUCGACCAACUGAGCCACCCAGGCGCCAACCCCCCGCCCCUCCGCAUUUAUACUUAAAGAUCACGUAGGCUAUAGUGGAUGAAAGAAGGGACUGAGGUGCAACAGAAGAUGGCAAGAGACCAGUUAUAAGGAUACUGCAACAGCCCGGUGUUGAAGAGAUUUUGUGUCUCCAGGGAGUCGGAGUGACUUGAUACGUCAGAGCAGUUCUGCAGUGUGUAUGCAGUGGUUCUUCAUGGAGCGCGGUGAGUCCCAUGAGCAGACAGAGGACAAGAGCAUAUUAGAGAUCAGCUGAAGUGCAGCCCUCUCAUUUUACAUAGGAGGAAUUGGGCAUGGAAAGAUGAAGCAAUUUUCCCAAAUCCACAGAGCUACUUCGUGGCAGAUCUAGGCCUGCAACUUUGGGGUCAGGUGUCUCCGAGGCUGUGCUGUCCCGUUCGAAUGCCUCGAAUCAGCCACAGCGCCCAUAAUUGAGAGCUUCUUCCGGCCGGGAGGGUACCUUCUCCACCUCUCACGACAAAUCUUUAAAGGAGGCCUUAUCACUCCCAUUUCCCAGGUCUUCAAGUCAUGGCAGAGACAAAAGCCUUGGCAACUGGGUAACUCCCUGAACGAUAAUCCAGUGUUGGAUCUCCUGACUCUACCAUAUAUCAGUGGAUGGCCACGGGCAAGUUGCUGAACUUCUCUGAGCCUCAGGUUUCUCAUCUGCUUUCGGCAUAAGUGGAGGGAGAAGAAGGUGAAAAGAGUUGGAACUGACAAUAAAACUCCAGCGCCCUGGAGAGGGGGCCUUCCUGGAAGCUACAUAAGUCUCCCUGAUGGAAGGAAAUCUUAGCGACUUUGGAAACGACUCAAGUUUGCUGUCAUGUUCACAUGUGGUGGUCGUGACGGUCAGGGCCGGGGGAGGCUGCACCUUAGUGAACAGCUUGGGUGAAUGAGGGCUGUACUAAACUCACCGAUGUGAGAAAUGCCAAGUUUUCCAGAUAAUAGGUGGCACCUUAGAUGUCAGAGUCCACUGCAAAUAAUAGUUCGUGCUCAGUUAGUUAUGGGUACUAAGUAAAUAUUAAUAGAAACUGAUAAGAUCAUGAUUUGGAGAAAAACAGAAAAGCAGUAAGUAGAUUGUGACAAGUUGCUGUGUAAUUACCUUUCAUCUUUUGGGGUAAAGGAGAACUGAAUAAAGCCACUCAUGUUACCUA
Long non-coding RNA from Felis catus (domestic cat), 2591 nucleotides. RefSeq lists it as uncharacterized. Lineage: Eukaryota; Metazoa; Chordata; Mammalia; Carnivora; Felidae. The transcript has 5 exons. The record is from RefSeq and is a predicted model, not a curated record.